RNAcentral lists this ribosomal RNA (789 nucleotides) under Rusavskia elegans. RNAcentral describes it as "bacterial LSU rRNA". The stretch from base 1 to 460 matches the Rfam family "Bacterial large subunit ribosomal RNA", at positions 923 to 1301 of the family's 2925-position model. Lineage: Eukaryota; Fungi; Ascomycota; Lecanoromycetes; Teloschistales; Teloschistaceae. The record is from RNAcentral.
GGUCGUGAAGACUCUAUCAGUUAGUAUUUGUUCUCGAAAGGGCUUUGAUUAAUAUUGAAGAAUCGGACAUAGUACGCUAAGGUUGUAUGUCUAAAGGGAAACAGCCCAGAACAAGUGUUAAUAAGGUUCCAAAAUUAUUAUUAAGUGAAACAAAGGUAGUUUAUCUCUUAAACGUCCAGGAAAUAGGCUUAGAAGCGGCCAUUUUUUAAAGACCUCGUAACAGAGCACUGGUUUUAUUCUAAUUUAUAUGUAUAAAUAAGAUCGAGAAAAGCACCGACGAUUACACGGAUCUAAAUAAUAUACCGAAACCUUGUCCAUGUAUAUUUAUAUAUACUUAAUAGUAAAAAAUAAGCGUGUUCUAUUUAUAAGUUAUAUAUUAUAUAGCGGGGUAGCGGAACAUUGGGCAAACCACACAUUUUUUUUAUAAAAAUUUUUAGGUACCCCAAGUGAUAAUGCUGACAUGAGUAACGAUAAAGGGAUAAAUCCCUCGCCUAAAGCUUAUGGAAUUUAGUUAAAGUAACGGCCUCUAAGUUUAUAAAUAAAAAACUAAAAUACACUAUUUUGGAGUAUUUUAAUUAUCCUAAGGGAUUAAACGAUGAGCAAAGCUAUAAAGAUACAAAUAAACAACAUUUAUAGACAGUUUACAAGAAAAGCAAUAAUUGUGUUAAAGUGAUAAAUGUUCUGGAAAAUAAUAUCUAAUAUAAAGUUUAUUAAUAUGAGUAGUUUAAAGAAAAUAUAUAAAUUUUAAAUAUACCGUACCUAAAAACUACCACAAGUAAGCAAGUAGAG